UACGUAGGUCGCAAGCGUUGUCCGGAUUUACUGGGCGUAAAGAGCGCGCAGGCGGCUGGUCAAGUCCGAUGUGAAAUCUCCCGGCUCAACUGGGAAACUGCAUCGGAAACUGAUCGGCUUGAAGAUGGGAGAGGGUAGUGGAAUUCCCGGUGUAGCGGUGAAAUGCGCAGAUAUCGGGAAGAACACCUAUGGCGAAGGCAGCUCUCUGGGACGGUACUGACGCUGAGACGCGAAAGCGUGGGGAGCGAACAGG
This 253-nucleotide ribosomal RNA is filed under the name uncultured bacterium. RNAcentral's name for it is "partial 16S ribosomal RNA". It matches the Rfam family "Bacterial small subunit ribosomal RNA", at positions 524 to 776 of the family's 1533-position model. The record is from RNAcentral.